This is a long non-coding RNA of Myodes glareolus (Bank vole), 2514 nucleotides long. RefSeq lists it as uncharacterized. NCBI's taxonomy places the organism in Eukaryota, Metazoa, Chordata, Mammalia, Rodentia, Cricetidae. The record is from RefSeq and is a predicted model, not a curated record.
GCAAACAGUCUGUCCCGCAAUCACAGAGUGUGCAGAUCUUCCCAUUUCUGGGGCCUGCAGCCGGGCCAAGAUCCCCGGAAAGUCUCAGGGGACUCCAAGAGACCAGAGCCUGCCUGCUGAUCCAUAAGCCAAAGGAACACCCCUGUUCCUUGCUUUGCCCGGGGAAUUCCUACAACUUGGUGCAGGUCAGCCACCUCAGAGACAUAGAUAGCAAAGCAAUGUUCUUUCCUUCUACACGUAUUUUUUCACUUCGUGUUGAAAAGGCUGCCCAGGGGUGUUGCUGCCUAGGCUCACAGAUGAAGAGGGCUGAGAGGAAACACAGCAUCUAUUCUGUCGGAGGCGAGAUAACAUGGAAUCUGCCGUCCUCCCUGUCCUGCUGCUGUGAUAACCUGAGACUGGCUACGCAAAGACAAUGGAAGUUUAUCUGGUUCACGGUCCUGGAGGCUGGGAAGUCCAACAGAGCAUCUGGCAAAAGCUUCCUUGCUGUGUCAUUCAAUGGAGGAAGCAGAAGCAGGAGUGGGGGUUGCGGCUGGAAGUGGGGAUGAACAAGGAAGGGCUGCAUUUAGAACCAGCUUCCCUAUCUCUGGGUAACAGCCACGCCCACCAUGACAUUAACUCAGUUCCUGACAAUGAAACCCAAUGACCUCAUCACCUCCCAAAGAUCCUGUUUCCUAGCAACAGGGCUGUGGCAAUGAAAUCUCAAUGUGAGCUCUGGAGGGGCUACCCAAACUGAAGCACAGCCCACCUUUGCAGAGAUUCCUUCUGGCUCACCUUGCCAUUCCAGAUUGUGUCUAAUUAGACAGUAUUAAAGCUGACCUGAAGUUUCGGAAACCGAUUGGUCCUCACAGUCUUCUGAAAUACUAGUGGGUCUCGAUAAACAGCGGUUUCCAUGGAGACGACCAAGGAACGUUAUACCCGUGUCGCGAGGAGCUUCUGAUUUGUAUCUCCAGCCAUUAGCUUUCACGCACAUUUCAUUCAUUAUUCAUUUGCUAAGUGGAGAUGGCAGCAACCCAGAGCAUUUCAGGAGACCUGGGUCGGUGAAUCAGAGCAACGUGGGAAUACGCAGAGGGCGGCAGCAGCUCUUCAGGAUACGGGGAGACCAGCCGGGGAUUUAAACACCCCUCAGAAAGAACACGUGGGCAGACCCCACUUGCAGGCAUUCGCCGGCACACAACUAUAAAUUCUCAGGAACGGAGAAUUGAAAGCUCUUCAUGUUCCCCGGUGUUCGAGGGGGGAGGAGGGGUCACGGACCCCGGAAUGCACAGCACAGGUUGAAUCCAGAGACUAAGGGCUCACAGACCCUUUACUAAAUGCUCACCAGAAAACUUUGGCUUCAGGUAGAAACAUAAAGGAUCCAACUAUCAUGAGGUUGCCAUCGUGUGAAUACGGAAGCAACACCAGCAUUCUGCACACCCUCCCUGUCUGCUGGGACUUGGGACACCUGGGCAUGAGACCCUUUGGUUCUUGUCUCUUCGGUCCUUCUGCUGCUAUUACGUGUCUGAUCUCUGACUUUGCUCUCCACCACAGCUUCUUUCUUGGUUGUCCCAGCUAUACGUUCUGAACACUUCUCAGAGCUUACUUUGUACAAGAAGACAAUCGCUCUUGGUGUUAAUAAAACAUUGUGUGUGUGUGUGUGUGUGUGUGUGUGUGUGUGUGUGUGUGUGUGCGCACACACGUGUGCUUGGGGCACAGAUGCAGCAUGUAUUAUCUCCACCUGAACUUGGAAAUCUUAGAAUCCCUACCAACAUUAAGCCAUAGCUGUGUACACCUAGGGAACACUCCUGAUUGAACUGGGGACAAAUGGCCUUUAAUCACUGAAAUUCAAGUGAGACACCAUGUGCUAUUGUGUUUUAUGGGUUUUUGAACAGAUAUCUCAGUUCUGGAAAAGUUGUAGGAAAUAUAUUUUAAUGUUUCUACCAUGGCUUCUGUUUUGUUUCAUUUUGGAAUCUGGUGGAUUCUCUUGCAUAUAAAGCUUACCUGACAGGCCCGUAGACUCUAAAGCUGACUCUGGAUAAUAAUAUUUUCGAGCAUUGACAUGGGUCUUGACCGCCUUGGCCUCCCUGUGGACUAGUUCACGACAGAGCGAGAGGACAUGCCCUUUCCUGAUCACUGGGCUUUGUACAGAUGACUACACAGUAUGGACCUUGAGGCCUAAAGAGACGGCUCAGCAGUUAGGGUCACUGCUCUGGCAAAAGACCAGUGUUAAACCCCCAGCAUCCACCUGGCAGCUCACAACCGUCUGCAAUUCCUCUUCCAGGAAGCCUGACACCGUCUUCUGGCCUCUGUAGGCACGGAACACACCUGCGGUGCACAUACAUCUGUGUAGACAAAUCACCCACUAAUAUAAAUUUUAAAAAAUAUUUAUGGCAUACUGGAAAUUGCAAAACAAAAGAAAAAGGAAGGGAGCCAAAGACACAGAGAAGCCCAGGAGAAUCUGCCCACAGAUCUUGCAGUCUGACCUCCGUCUCAAUAACCAUCAUUCUUUCUCCACCUGUGUUUCUCCUUCAACAAACC